GUCAGCGGUCUCUAGAUAAGGGUUAAUAACAUACCCAGGUUGGUGUCAGCGGUCUCUAGAUAAGGGUUAAUCAGGUUUAAUAACAUACCCAGGUUGGUGUCAGCGGUCUCUAGAUAAGGGUUAAUCAGGUUUAAUAACAUACCCAGGUUGGUGUCAGUGGUCUCUAGAUAAGGUUUAAUAACAUACCCAGGUUGGUGUCAGUGGUCUCUAGAUAAGGUUUAAUAACAUACCCAGGUUGGUGUCAGUGGUCUCUAGAUAAGGUUUAAUAACAUACCCAGGUUGGUGUCAGCGGUCUCUAGAUAAGGUUUAAUAACAUACCCAGGUUGGUGUCAGCGGUCUCUAGAUAAGGGUUAAUCAGGUUUAAUAACAUACCCAGGUUGGUGUCAGCGGUCUCUAGAUAAGGUUUAAUAACAUACCCAGGUUGGUGUCAGCAGUCUCUAGAUAAGGUUUAAUAACAUACCCAGGUUGGUGUCAGUGGUCUCUAGAUAAGGUUUAAUAACAUACCCAGGUUGGUGUCAGCGGUCUCUAGAUAAGGUUUAAUCAGGUUUAAUAACAUACCCAGGUUGGUGUCAGCGGUCUCUAGAUAAGGGUUAAUCAGGUUUAAUAACAUACCCAGGUUGGUGUCAGUGGUCUCUAGAUAAGGGUUAAUCAGG
This is a long non-coding RNA of Oncorhynchus keta (chum salmon), 653 nucleotides long. RefSeq lists it as uncharacterized. Lineage: Eukaryota; Metazoa; Chordata; Actinopteri; Salmoniformes; Salmonidae. The transcript is spliced from 4 exons. The record is from RefSeq and is a predicted model, not a curated record.